AUUGAACGCUGUCGUCAUUCUAUACACAUGCACGUCGAGCGUCAUCGCGGGGGCAACCCUGGCGGCGAGCGGCGAACGGGUUAGUAAUGCAUCGGAACGUAUCCUCUAGUGGGGGAUAACCCAGCGAAAUUUGGGCUAAUACCGCAUGAGCUCUGAGUAGGAAAGCGGGGGACCUGCUAGGGCCUCGCGCUGGAGGAGCGGCCGAUGUCCGAUUCGCUGGUGUGUGGGGGAAAGGCUUACCAAGGCGAGUAUCGGUAGCUGGUGUGACAGGAUGAUCAGCCACACUGGGAGUGAGACACGGCCCAGAGUCCUACGGGAGGCAGCAGUGGGGAAUGUUGGACAAUGGGGGCAAGUGUGAUCCAGCGAUGCCGCGGGAGUGAAGAAGGCCUUCGGGGUGUAAAGCUGGUUCGGACGGAACGAAAUGGGCGGGACUAAUACUCCUGUCUGAUGACGGAACUGAAAGAAGAAGAAAAGGCUAGCUAAGUG
This 486-nucleotide ribosomal RNA is filed under the name uncultured bacterium. RNAcentral's name for it is "partial 16S ribosomal RNA". It matches the Rfam family "Bacterial small subunit ribosomal RNA", at positions 29 to 507 of the family's 1533-position model. The record is from RNAcentral.